This 1387-nucleotide long non-coding RNA is filed under the name Bos indicus x Bos taurus (hybrid cattle). RNAcentral's name for it is "lncRNA (ENSBIXG00005027499.1)". The record is from RNAcentral. Lineage: Eukaryota; Metazoa; Chordata; Mammalia; Artiodactyla; Bovidae.
GGGACGCGAGGCGAGGCCGCCACCCGCGCGGCGUCCCCGGGCCCCGCUCCUGCUCCCAGCGCCGCGCACUGGCCGGCGGGGCCGGGGCCGGCCGGGGAGGCGGCACAGGGCGGCGGGGCGGGGGCCCCGAAGUGGGUUUCGGGCCGCCACCGGCGCUGGCACAGGGCGCAGAGGGCGGCGCGUGGUGGACUCCGCGCCCGGGCAUCGCACCCGGCCGCUUUCGGCUCUGUGGCUCUGCCCCGGCCCGGAAAACCCGGCGCCUUCCAGGCCCAUCGAAAGAUGGAUUCUGUUGACGUAUCUGGCGGCCCUGGCGAGCCGGGUGGAAAGUUGGGUUUUGCCAGAUCGCACUGGGCUCGUCUUUGUGACGCUCGGCCAGCCCCGCAUCCUCCCGGAGCUGGAAGUCCCUGGAGUAGGUUUGGGGCACGACGGAUGGACGGAGAGAGGAAUGAGGCACGGAAGAAGAAGGUGGCUUUGGAGAAGCGAAUUGUCACCCACCCCAAGGCACGCAGUCCGCUUCCCUCUCUGCCUGCCAAACUUUUAUGAAUAUUCCUUUUGUGAUGGGGGAAGCUUAAUGAAUUCAGCCCAGUUUUCCAGGGAAAAGCAACCCGGCUUUAACAAUGGUUUGAGAACUUAAUCAAUGAGAAGGGCAGGGGAGGAGGAGGAGGAGGAGGCGCUGACACCAGUAAUCGGCGAUGUGGUUGCUUUUUGCAGAGUCAGGUAGGGGAGAGGUGGGCAGGGCAGGGCGCAGCGCCUGGGUGGCCGCGUUCCGGGGGAGUGUCAGGCGCUUUUACCUGUGCCCACUGGAGCCACCCACCGCCGUGCCCCCACCUCACGGUCUGCCCAGAACUCUGCGACGGGGCUUGAGGGGCCGCUCGCGGCAGCGCGCGGGCGGCCCCCCUCAUCUGGCGUUUUUAAGGAUGUGUAAAUAUUUUGCUGAGGGUAAGUGACAUCAACAGAAUGAUAUUCCGCAGAGCCCGGGUGUGCAGCGAUGAUAAAUAGAUACGGCCAAACAAAGUUUUGAUAACCGCGGAUUCUCAUGGCUGGCUCUGUUUCAUUUUGGGUCUUUGUUUUUGUUGGUUUAGCAUUAUCUCUCAUCCUCUGGUGUGAUCCCUUUAUUUAGCUGUUUCUUGGAAGCUUCUCUUUAGAACAGAGAGAAAAGCAGCCAGCAGGGAGAAAAUGAUUCUUAGCCUUGCAUGCAUCGGGCAAGGUUUUCUAUGCUUUCCCCGUGAGUCUUUCCGGGACUGUUUUCUAUGUCUCUCUUCCUCCUUUCAAGUCACCAGAAUCGUUUGUUGAUUGACCAGGAGAUUUCGGAUAACUUUGAAAAUGUGUUGUGAUGUGCCUUUGUUACAGGAAAGAGGUGGCAGUACAGUGGGGAGGCUAGUGGGAG